UAGGAAGCAGGUAUAUAUAUAUGUGUGCAGAUGAGUUAUAUGCCUGAGAUGAUGUAUUGCUAUAUAUUGUCCAGGUUUAUUAUGUGACAGAUUAUGUGAUUGCUGCUCUGACAGGUAGUGUGUUGUAUGUAUUGAGAUAAUCCUGACAGGUCACUAUAGGAAAAGUGAUCAUUUUGUGCAUGCAUCAUGCCAAAUUUUUCAAGAUUUAUUGAUGAUUGAUAGGUAGUAGGGUUCUACGCGGUGGCUGGUGGCCUUAUGCCUACCCGCACCCUAGGACCGUCGCGGCGGCCCGCCGGGAAUGGGGCGGGGGUCGUGACAAGAGGUGGUAUCAGAGCAAAGGUUAAGAAGAGUCCUGUCAGAGCAAUAGGAUGAGUCAGGAUUAAGUAUAGGAUUAUACUAUGGAGCAUAGGAUUUUUCUGUAUGUUAUUUUAUGAGUCAUUUACAACUCAGUAAAAUAUAUCAUGACUCAGUGUGUAACGACUAUCCUCUCUUUUUGACUUUUUUAGAGAGAUAUAAAG
RNAcentral lists this long non-coding RNA (518 nucleotides) under Phoenix dactylifera (date palm). RNAcentral's name for it is "long non-coding RNA (PDAC_LNC022689)". The record is from RNAcentral. Lineage: Eukaryota; Viridiplantae; Streptophyta; Magnoliopsida; Arecales; Arecaceae.